This is a non-coding RNA of Pimephales promelas (fathead minnow), 240 nucleotides long. NCBI's taxonomy places the organism in Eukaryota, Metazoa, Chordata, Actinopteri, Cypriniformes, Leuciscidae. The record is from RefSeq and is a predicted model, not a curated record.
UCCUCUCAUCCGGGACAUGAGACGAAUGACGUCAAGGCGCCGAAAUAAACAUUGCUCGGCAUGAAAACUAAUGCAGUAUUAUUUUCUGAAAUAAAAGCACAUUGAUGCGUUCUAGUAUUCCGCGCAGCAGUUUGUAACAGAGGUGGAAAAACAACUGUGUGCAGAGAUGCAGGCGGCAGAGGAGGCGCAGUCCUCUCUCGCGGAGCGGGUAGAGUCUAUGGGAGUGAGUGAAGAACAGGA